RNAcentral lists this small nucleolar RNA (66 nucleotides) under Daucus carota subsp. sativus. Its description in RNAcentral is "snoRNA snoU49". It matches the Rfam family "Small nucleolar RNA U49". Lineage: Eukaryota; Viridiplantae; Streptophyta; Magnoliopsida; Apiales; Apiaceae. The record is from Rfam by way of RNAcentral.
UACCGAUGAGGAAGAAUUCCCAAAAGAUAGGAAGUGCCGUAUGACACUUUACACAACAGCGUUUUA